This 1128-nucleotide long non-coding RNA is filed under the name Bos grunniens (domestic yak). RNAcentral describes it as "lncRNA (ENSBGRG00000022688.1)". The record is from RNAcentral. Lineage: Eukaryota; Metazoa; Chordata; Mammalia; Artiodactyla; Bovidae.
GCCAUCGCUGGUGAGAUAGCCUGGGUGCCGGGACGGCAAGGAUCAGAGAGCAAAACGUGCGUUUUUCUCCACUUUGGUCGGGAGGUCAGCGUCUGGAGGGACGGAGCGAGUGACGCCGCCCGAACCCAGCUACCCGGAGUGCCCAGGCGCGCGGCCCGCCCCGGGACGCGUGGCGUCCUCCGCCCGCGUUUCCUCUUCCAAAACCAUCAUGCUGAAGGGCAACUCUGCUGCCGCCGCGUGCCCCCGGCCCGGAAGGAGGGGGCCGCUUCGCAUCUGGACAGGCUCGCGCGCCGCGGCCCGCGCCCAGGAUGGAGCCGGAUCCCUCCUGCAGCCGCGCCGCGGGGCCCGGGACGCGUGACCCUGAGCCCACUGCACCCCCGUGAGGCCGGCGCAGUCCUCCCCGUGCCCCCACCUCUCUCGGCGCCGACCAGACGCGGCCCCCGCUCUCACGAAGAGAGAAGCAGGGGGACCGCAGUGGAGCGGAGAAGCAGGGAUCCGGCCUGUAGCAACAGGACCGGUCCCCGGGUCGGGAAUGGGGAGGAGGGCAGACAGGGAGCCGCAGAAAACCCCAACAUCGGCAGCCCUCCCCCUCCCGGUGGGACCGUCCCGCCACCGCUUCCUGCCCGGGAUCAGCUUCCCAGCUGCAGCCACAGGAAAAAUCCGAGCCGCCCCUGCAGAUCCGCAGAGACCAGACGCUCGGCCCCGGGAUUUCCCCGUCCCGGGCCAGCCAUUCCGCAGCUCCGCACGCCUCCUUACCCGGACGCCGCACUCAGGAGCUCGCUCGCCGCCGGGACCAGUCCCGCUUCAGCCCAGUCGCCGGCCCGCCGCGUCCGCCUCCUCCCUCCGCUAGGUUUCAAAUUGAAAUUCCCUGGCUGGGGCCGUCAGAGGACUAGCGCCCCAGCCCCGCCCCCUCGCGGCGGAAGCUCCUCCCGCAUCCCCGCCGGACGCGCCCCCGGUGCGGAAACCCCGCGGGCCACGACACGCCCCCUACGGCCAGGCCACGCCCCGCCCCCUUCCCCGCUAGUCCGACCGACUCUUUCAGCGGGAUUAGCGGCUCGCGGUCGCCGGGUACCCAGCGCGGAAAGGACGCGUCUCGCCCUGGGAGCUACCCUAGAUAAUGACUGCUGA